Molecule: long non-coding RNA, 286 nt
Filed under: Nicotiana tabacum (common tobacco)
Lineage: Eukaryota; Viridiplantae; Streptophyta; Magnoliopsida; Solanales; Solanaceae
Description: long non-coding RNA (NTAB_LNC018686)
Source: RNAcentral
GUGGGCGACCUAGAACUUAAAAUGUAUUCCCGCAUUUUACUGGUGGGCGACCUAGAACUUAAAUGUAUUCCCGCAUUUUACUGGUGGGCGACCUAGAGCUUAAAUGUAUUCCCGCAUUUUACUGGUGGGCGACCUAGAACUUAAAAGUAUUCCCGCAUUUUACUGGUGGGCGACCUAGAACUUAAAUGUAUUGAAAUUGUUUCCUCGUUCUUCCGAGAAAAUUUGACGAUUGGCAGAAAAUUUUCUGCCCCGGUUUCUGGUGAUUUCCCUGGCGUUGCAUCUUGCU